Ictidomys tridecemlineatus (thirteen-lined ground squirrel) is the source of this 104-nucleotide small nuclear RNA. The record is from Ensembl. NCBI's taxonomy places the organism in Eukaryota, Metazoa, Chordata, Mammalia, Rodentia, Sciuridae.
GUGCUCGCUUCGGCAGCACAUAUACUAAAAUUUAAACGAUAGAGAAAUUAGCAUGGCCCCUGAGCAAGGAUGACACACAAAUUCAUGAAGCAUUUCAUAUUUUU